UGCAGUCGAGCGGACAGAAGGGAGCUUGCUCCCGGAUGUUAGCGGCGGACGGGUGAGUAACACGUGGGUAACCUGCCUGUAAGACUGGGAUAACUCCGGGAAACCGGAGCUAAUACCGGAUAGUUCCUUGAACCGCAUGGUUCAAGGAUGAAAGACGGUUUCGGCUGUCACUUACAGAUGGACCCGCGGCGCAUUAGCUAGUUGGUGAGGUAACGGCUCACCAAGGCGACGAUGCGUAGCCGACCUGAGAGGGUGAUCGGCCACACUGGGACUGAGACACGGCCCAGACUCCUACGGGAGGCAGCAGUAGGGAAUCUUCCGCAAUGGACGAAAGUCUGACGGAGCAACGCCGCGUGAGUGAUGAAGGUUUUCGGAUCGUAAAGCUCUGUUGUUAGGGAAGAACAAGUGCAAGAGUAACUGCUUGCACCUUGACGGUACCUAACCAGAAAGCCACGGCUAACUACGUGCCAGCAGCCGCGGUAAUACGUAGGUGGCAAGCGUUGUCCGGAAUUAUUGGGCGUAAAGGGCUCGCAGGCGGUUUCUUAAGUCUGAUGUGAAAGCCCCCGGCUCAACCGGGGAGGGUCAUUGGAAACUGGGAAACUUGAGUGCAGAAGAGGAGAGUGGAAUUCCACGUGUAGCGGUGAAAUGCGUAGAGAUGUGGAGGAACACCAGUGGCGAAGGCGACUCUCUGGUCUGUAACUGACGCUGA
Molecule: ribosomal RNA, 709 nt
Filed under: Bacillus sp. (in: firmicutes)
Lineage: Bacteria; Bacillati; Bacillota; Bacilli; Caryophanales; Bacillaceae
Also listed under: 1 other name
Description: bacterial SSU rRNA
Rfam family: Bacterial small subunit ribosomal RNA
Source: RNAcentral